AAUACUAUAGCCAGUUGUUAUAAAAGGCAUAUAAAAGGUGACAAAAUGAUGAAAGCUUCAGACAGUAAAUCAUUAUGGGCCAAAGUAGGCCAAAUCAAAGAACUCCAUUUCAUGUCGAAAAACGUCAUCUUGUUUGGACGAGGAUGUUUUAUUCAGUUCAUAAACAUCACAACAAGCGAAGAACACCAGUUAAUGCUCAACAACCACUACGUUAAUGGUGAUGGGGUGAAAUGUCUGACAGGACAUAGUACCUUGUAUAUUUUUGCCUAUGCUGAGAAUUGCCAUGAACCAUUUAUCUACGUGAGGAGUUAUCCAGAGUUUAUAAUACUAGCCAAAUUACCUGGUCCUGCAGAAGGCUGCAAAUGUCUAGAUUUCUCCGAAACCUCUCUAUUAUUUGAGCUAGGAGAAUUACCGAAUCACACCGUCGGAGCCUGGAAUUGGAGGACUUUGGAGAAAUUUGCCCACUCCAGCAACCAACUUGUGUACAAAAAUCAAGUUUUAAGAUGUAGCUAUGGCAGACCGAUAUUUCUAGCUCAUUUAGGAAUAGGAUCGAACAAUAUGUACAUUUGGGACGUGUUUACUGUUUGCAAGUCCUCAAUUUUCUCGAAACACGAAAUACAUCUGGGAAAAUUGAAACCGGCGCCAUUUUUGGAUGUUUUAUGGACCACGGAUGCGAUCUGUUAUAUUGUUGAUGCCAAAGGAACGAUUUAUACAUAUGACAGAGACUUUUACUUAGAAGUUGUCAUUGAGGUGAAUGAAGAAGGAGAUAUACCAACGUCCAUGUGUUGGUUCCAGCAUGGUCUAACAGUUAUUGGUCCAAUUCCAGAAAUAAAGCAUUACAAAAAGGUGGUUGGCGACUGGGUAUGCGACUGGAAGUACCCCAUUUCGAACAAACUCACUGGAGUCAUUUGCAACCGAUUUGAUAAAUGUGUCGCUAUUUCUAGCGAAAACGAGAUAGUUUUACUCGGAAAUACACCGGAGAGUUUCACAGUAUUGAACCCAAACAAGUCACAUUACACGAAUAUCUGUCCUAUUGAACCAGGUGGAGAGUAUUUCGUUGUAUUACGUGGAAAUAACGAUCUUAUAAUUUACAGAAUAGACGAUGGAGAACCUGUAUCCAGAUUACUCAUAGAUUGUUCGGUAACAUCUAUGGCAUCGAACCCUGAGUUUCCAUUUCUGGCACUAGGCAACGAUCGCGGAAUACUACAAUUGAUAUCUGUUCAUGAUGUGACGAAUCCAACUGUCAUAGUACAAGUGUAUCUGGCCGACAUUGUCCUAAAUGUCACAAAGUACUUUGAGCGAAGUCACGUGUUCGUCACAGGAAACAACGACAAUGGGGAAUAUUUUAUUUUACGGGGUCUUCCUGGAUCCAAGAUCGACGUGGCCCUUCAUCUGGAAGUCAAAAAGCAAAUAGUGGACUUCUUCAUGGUGUCGUCGCAGAAUAUGAUUCGAUUCUUCGUGUUACCACUGACCUCCAACAAGUUCUACGCUGGUAACAAAGUGAUACGCUACUGUAUCGUGGACGAUAAAGUAGUCAGCGUGAAAGAGUACACUUUUGGCUCAUCCCAGAUGCUUUACAAAAUGAUUUUUCCCAAAAAGGGCUUCCAUAAGGAUAGGAUGUUCUACGUGGUUCCUUUCAAUACCAGGUAUUUUCAAGUGGUUGAAACAAAAAGAGGGUCAUCGGUGAUAACUGCCAUAGAAGAUAUUAAAUCUGGACAUUUGUUAAGACAUUUUUCUGUUGGAACUGGAAAGUAUUUCUCCAUCACUUGGGGCUACGAUGGAUUCAUAAUGGCGCACAGCGCUGAUUUUGACAAAGUCGUAGGCCUUUGUAGGCCUCAUCAUCGCAACGAUCAAGGAGUGAGAAAAGCUAUCAUAAACGGAAUUGGAACUGUAGUGGUAUCUCUAGGUGAAGACGGCGUCCUUACCGCAACCCAAAUCCGAAAAGAGACACCCGACGUCCAACUACUCAAAGAGCAAAUAACGGAAGAGGCCGCCCAUCUAAAACUGGCCCUCAUGUUCAAGCGACCCACCGCGGGCUUUCCCAUCGAAGCCUGUUUCCUGGGCAAACCCUGGAAGGAGAUCCAAAGAUUAAAACUGAUAGCCAGCGAGGAGAAGGCGUGCCGAAUAGAAAAGGAGAAAAUUUGGGCGGAGUUCCACGACAUCAGUAAAACUUUGAAGGCUUUGGUCGAUCAAAACAUGGAGACUACGGAAAAUAAAAAGCUGGACUUGAUGGAGUUUUAUCUGGAUACGGCUCUGUAUAAUAAGAAGCAGCUUCAAAACAAGGAGGACUGUAAACAGACCGAGACUUAUUUGAAGUGUUUGAUCGUGGCUCAAGAUAAAGUUUCGAAUUAUAUCAUCAAGAAUUAUUGGGAGCCUAUGGGUAUUCAAUGGGGAAAUAUUUUGGGCAUAUUCAGCGAAGUUAAGGCUACUAAUUACUGUCUAUUGCCCGAAAGCCAAAAUCAACUCGACAAACUCAGUUGGGUCGAGGAACAGCGAAAAGUCGAACAGUUUAUGAGCAGCCAGGACACUUUCGAACCGUGGGUUUGGAUGACACAAAACAAAUUGAUGGAUGUUAUAAGAAGAAGACCGAUGCCGCCAAGAGAGGAUUAUACAGGGGUUGCCGCUCUUAGACGUUUGAAAGAGAUAGAUGAGAUGGAGUCGGAAAAAUCGUUGGAAACAACUAUAGCAAUAGCUGGAUCAGUGGCUCAACUCUACAUAGAUAUCAGUCCAGGGCAUUAUCAGCAAAGACAGUUAACUACUUUUUAUCAGUGCCAGUUACAACAGGCUGUUGCCGAGAGAGAAGUUAUUAAACUGAAACAGAACUACAACAAAUGUUUUCAAAAUACCAGGGCUAUCAAGGACAGAGAAGUGUACAAUAUCAAGGAAAAGAAUGCCAAGCUGAGGCAUAUAGUAUCUGAGUACAACUACCAUUCGGAUAAGAAAGUCUUCGUUAACAUCGACGACCCUGAGUGGGAUCAGAUAGAAAAUCCGGAAACCAUUCUUAAGGUAACCGACAACGAGAUACCAGUCACACCAUAUAUUUCGCCCAGUGAGCAGGCCAUACUAGAUGCGAAAGCAGCCGAAGAAGAACGAUUGCGUUUGUUGUUAUUGGCCGACGAUUUCAGAGAGAGGGCGCUGAUGGCUAUGAUGAAUGGCGUACUGGAAGUACGUUGGGAGGACGAACUUAAAAAAGACGUACCGAAACCAAAGUGCAUGUUGGAGAAAAUACCGGAAGAAUACAACGAGGACGACCUGAGAGCCAUCAGGGACUAUGAAGAGAAAGUUGUGUUCCUAAAAGCCGAAAGGGAAAAGUACAAAACUUUGCUGGAAGUGGAUUACGCGAAAUUGUCCACGAACGUGCGCGAUACCAUCCGCAGAUUCAACCAGAAGCUCUACGAGUGCACCCGCUACAAAUUCUACAUCGACUCGGGCAUGAACCAGGAAAAUUUGCAAGUGAACCGGGCCAGGUUCCAGCAGAACCACAGAAUCAUUUUGGACGAGAUAGAGGCCGGCAUUAUUGCAUCCAUUCAGGAAUACGAAAAAGAGGUCGAUGUAAACCAUAAGCAGAUACAGUUCAUGCAGGAUUCUCUCAGCGAUUGUAAAACCAACUUGGAUUCCAUGCAGAUCAGAGAAAAAAAUUUAGAGAAAGCAUACAGGAAGGACUUUCAGGACAUGUCCCCCGUGGUCCAGGAACAGUCUUAUAAGCUAUACAAAAAGCGACCCAAAGUAAAUUUUCGCAAUAUCUCCACUGCAACGGUUUUGAACGAAUUGGCCAAAAGUGUCCUAAGUAACGAGACCACGAUAGCCAUGACGCAAGAGUGUUUGGACUACUUGAAAUCCUUGGAACAAUUGGAUUUGUUCGUUGGUCUGCCUCCUACCAUCGACGAGAACACGUAUAGUUUGAUAUGCAAACAUAGAAGGAUGAGAAUUGAGUACGACAUUAGAUGUCGAGCUGCUCAGUUACAAAUAAUUGAUGGUGAUGCUACUCUUUCUACAUUCCAAAGACGUAUAGCCACUGAAAAAGAAAAAAUCGCUAAUUUAAAUGCCCAACUGGAGAAGACCAGAGAUGACAGGUUGUACCUGCUGCACAACAGACAAGUCCAAGUGGUACUCAGGAGAGGUUUGGUUGAAAUCCCUCUUACUGGAGACUUGUUCACCGACUUUAAUGACGUUAUUUUGAUCCCCAGAACAGAAAUUCAACGCGUCAACGAUAUGAUCAAGAACGCGGGCAAUUUGAAAUUGAAAACGAUCUACAAAAAUAUGGAGUUUAAGAGACGCAUUAUGAAUAUCGAAUGGGAACACAUGAAGACUAGAAUGCAGAUCAACGAUUUUAUUGAGCAGAGGAAAGAUAUUCUUUCUGUAAAGUUUACCAAAGAGAUGCAGAGGUACUUAAAGAGCAAAACUAUGGGCAAACAAGCGGAAGUGGAAUCGUAUGAAAUGGAAGUGGAACUCUUGGCAGCCGCGUUCGAAAACAGGAUAAAGGACAAGAAGGACAAGUACAACAAGAUCAAGAUCCAGCUGAAACUGUACCAGGACAGCAACAAGAACUUAGACGAAGAGAUCAAGAAGAUAAACGUUGACGUGUGCCACUUCAAGUUGCUCAAAGAAUGGGAAGUGGAAGAAAAGGAGAAGAGCAUACUCAAAUCUAGAAGAUACGGCCAAAGUUUCCGGAAUACAGUUCGGACCACCCUAUAUAUUUCACAAUGAGUGUUUAAGAACUAAUCAUAAAAUCUGUCGGAGGGGCUGAGAAAAAGUACCCUAUAAUAAAAUUAUAAAUUCCCUGGGAUACCAGGAUGGACCUAAUGGUUGAAUGCAAUGUUGCAAAGAAAUCAGCUGGUGCAAAAAAUCCAAGAAAACCACAACGAAAUUCUAGUGCUGCAGGCGGAAUUGGAGUUAUUAAGAUUAAGAACAUUUCCGACAUUUAAAUAUAAAGUAUUGG
This is an RNA transcript of Sitophilus oryzae (rice weevil), 4939 nucleotides long. It is a transcript of the gene named cilia- and flagella-associated protein 43, with no coding region annotated. NCBI's taxonomy places the organism in Eukaryota, Metazoa, Arthropoda, Insecta, Coleoptera, Curculionidae. The transcript has 24 exons. The record is from RefSeq and is a predicted model, not a curated record.